ACAGCCAGGAUGUUGGCUUAGAAGCAGCCAUCAUUUAAAGAAAGCGUAAUAGCUCACUGGUCGAGUCGGCCUGCGCGGAAGAUGUAACGGGGCUAAACCAUGCACCGAAGCUGCGGCAGCGACGCUGAUGCGUUGUUGGGUAGGGGAGCGUUCUGUAAGCCUGCGAAGGUGUGCUGUGAGGCAUGCUGGAGGUAUCAGAAGUGCGAAUGCUGACAUAAGUAACGAUAAAGCGGGUGAAAAGCCCGCUCGCCGGAAGACCAAGGGUUCCUGUCCAACGUUAAUCGGGGCAGGGUGAGUCGACCCCUAAGGCGAGGCCGAAAGGCGUAGUCGAUGGGAAACAGGUUAAUAUUCCUGUACUUGGUGUUACUGCGAAGGGGGGACGGAGAAGGCUAUGUUGGCCGGGCGACGGUUGUCCCGGUUUAAGCGUGUAGGCUGGUUUUCCAGGCAAAUCCGGAAAAUCAAGGCUGAGGCGUGAUGACGAGGCACUACGGUGCUGAAGCAACAAAUGCCCUGCUUCCAGGAAAAGCCUCUAAGCAUCAGGUAACAUCAAAUCGUACCCCAAAC
This 564-nucleotide ribosomal RNA is filed under the name Escherichia coli. RNAcentral's name for it is "partial 23S ribosomal RNA". It matches the Rfam family "Bacterial large subunit ribosomal RNA", at positions 1089 to 1654 of the family's 2925-position model. The record is from RNAcentral. Lineage: Bacteria; Pseudomonadati; Pseudomonadota; Gammaproteobacteria; Enterobacterales; Enterobacteriaceae.